RNAcentral lists this ribosomal RNA (253 nucleotides) under uncultured bacterium. RNAcentral's name for it is "partial 16S ribosomal RNA". It matches the Rfam family "Bacterial small subunit ribosomal RNA", at positions 524 to 776 of the family's 1533-position model. The record is from RNAcentral.
UACGUAGGGCGCAAGCGUUAUCCGGAAUUAUUGGGCGUAAAGAGCUCGUAGGCGGUCUGUCGCGUCGGCUGUGAAAACCCGGGGCUCAACCCCGGGCCUGCAGUCGAUACGGGCAGACUAGAGUGCGGUAGGGGAGACUGGAAUUCCUGGUGUAGCGGUGAAAUGCGCAGAUAUCAGGAGGAACACCGGUGGCGAAAGCGACCUUCUGGGCCAUUUCUGACACUGAGGCUCGAAAGCUUGGGGAGCAAACGGG